Molecule: ribosomal RNA, 497 nt
Filed under: uncultured bacterium
Lineage: Bacteria
Description: partial 16S ribosomal RNA
Rfam family: Bacterial small subunit ribosomal RNA
Source: RNAcentral
GAUGAACGCUGGCGGCGUGCCUAAUACAUGCAAGUCGAGCGAACGGACGAGAAGCUUGCUUCUCUGCUGUUAGCGGCGGACGGGUGAGUAACACGUGGAUAACCUACCUAUAAGACUGGGAUAACUUCGGGAAACCGGAGCUAAUACCGGAUGAUAUUUUGAACCGCAUGGUUCAAAAGUGAAAGACGGUCUUGCUGUCACUUAUAGAUGGAUCCGCGCUGCAUUAGCUAGUUGGUAAGGUAACGGCUUACCAAGGCAACGAUGCAUAGCCGACCUGAGAGGGUGAUCGGCCACACUGGAACUGAGACACGGUCCAGACUCCUACGGGAGGCAGCAGUAGGGAAUCUUCCGCGAUGGGCGAAAGCCUGACGGAGCAACGCCGCGUGAGUGAUGAAGGUCUUCGGAUCGUAAAACUCUGUUAGUAGGGAAGAACAUAUGUGUAAGUAACUGUGCACAUCUUGACGGUACCUAAUCAGAAAGCCACGGCUAACUACGUG